This 441-nucleotide ribosomal RNA is filed under the name uncultured bacterium. RNAcentral's name for it is "partial 16S ribosomal RNA". It matches the Rfam family "Bacterial small subunit ribosomal RNA", at positions 338 to 795 of the family's 1533-position model. The record is from RNAcentral.
CCUACGGGUGGCAGCAGUGGGGAAUAUUGCACAAUGGGGGAAACCCUGAUGCAGCGACGCCGCGUGAGUGAAGAAGUAUUUCGGUAUGUAAAGCUCUAUCAGCAGGAACGAGACAAGACGGUACCUGACUAAGAAGCCCCGGCUAACUACGUGCCAGCAGCCGCGGUAAUACGUAGGGGGCAAGCGUUAUCCGGAAUCAAUGGGUGGAAAGGGAGCGUAGACGGCUGAGCAAGCCUGAAGUGAAAGGCGGGGGCCCAACCCCCGGACUGCUUUGGGAACUGUACGGCUGGAGUGCAGGAGAGGUAAGUGGAAUUCCGAGUGUAGCGGUGAAAUGCGUAGAUAUUAGGAGGAACACCAGUGGCGAAGGCGGCUUACUGGACUGUAACUGACGUUGAGGCUCGAAAGCGUGGGGAGCAAACAGGAUUAGAUACCCGGGUAGUC